GUAAUAUGGCAUUUUUUUCUGGCUUGGCUUCCCCAGCGACCUACGCACCGAUACUGGCAAGGACUAGGGAGUUUUUUGGGAUAAAAACGGAAUAGAGCUAAGCACAGGAAAAAUCCUAGAGGAUUACCGGUUAUUUCUGCUUUCCAACAAACACUGGGAAACAAAUUCACCUUUCAGCAGGACAAUAACUUAGUUGCUUUCCAGGACAGCAUUGAAUGUUCCUGAGUGGCCGCCUAGUUAUAGUUUUGAAUUAAAUCGUCUUGAAAAUCUAUGGCAAGACUUGAAAAUGACUGUCUAGCAAUGAUCAACAACCAACUUGACAGAGCUUGAAGAAUUCUCAAAAGAAUCAUGUGCAAAUAUUGUACAAUCUAGUCUGACAGUAACCCAGCUGUCUGAAGCAGAGGAUCACUCUUUCAGCUGCUGCAUGAAGCAGCCAGGCAAAAAGACAGAGUUGGUAUCGACAUUGACGUGGGCCAUCACUCAAACAAAGAUGCCUUCGUGCUCACCAGUGCAUAUUUCCAAACUAUAAUGACAAUAAAAUCUCAAAACUAUGCCGCUA
This 559-nucleotide long non-coding RNA is filed under the name Salmo salar (Atlantic salmon). RNAcentral's name for it is "lncRNA (ENSSSAG00000103190.1)". The record is from RNAcentral. Lineage: Eukaryota; Metazoa; Chordata; Actinopteri; Salmoniformes; Salmonidae.